Molecule: ribosomal RNA, 774 nt
Filed under: uncultured Neocallimastigales
Lineage: Eukaryota; Fungi; Neocallimastigomycota; Neocallimastigomycetes; Neocallimastigales
Description: partial large subunit ribosomal RNA
Rfam family: Eukaryotic large subunit ribosomal RNA
Source: RNAcentral
GUACACGCUGUGACUAGCAUAUCAAUAAGCGGAGGAAAAGAAACUAACAAGGAUUCCCCUAGUAACGGCGAGUGAAGCGGGAAGAGCUCAAAUUUGAAAUCUUAAAGGGUUUCCCUUUACGAAUUGUAGUUUAAAGAAGUGUUUUCUGUUGAGGUUUUGGUAAAAGUUCUUUGGAAUAGGACAUCAUAGAGGGUGAGAAUCCCGUAUUUGACCUUUACUUUCAACUUUGUGAUACACUUUCAAAGAGUCGGAUUGUUUGGGAAUGCAGUCCAAAAUGGGUGGUAAAUUUCAUCUAAAGCUAAAUAUUGGCGAGAGACCGAUAGCGAACAAGUACCGUGAGGGAAAGAUGAAAAGAACUUUGAAAAGAGAGUUAAACAGUACGUGAAAUUGUCAAAAGGGAAGCGUUUGACACCAGUGUUGUUUUUCUGAAAAUCAAUUAAAGAACUGUUUAUGCUAAGUUGUUUAGACUUUAUCAGCUAACUGUUUAGUUUUGAGCUUUUCUUUAAUGCACUUUUCAGUUAACAAGUCAACAUCAAUUUCUUUUGCCGUAAAAAAGCUUGAGGAAGGUGGCUUGAGAUUCGUCUUAAGUGUUUAUAGCCUCUUGCCUAUGCAGUCGGAGAGAUUGAGGUCUGCAGCGUAGAUCCUUCGGGGCUAAAUGCAUUUGUGCUAAGUUAUAGCAUUUUAUAGACAACUUGUUGACUAUGAUUUGUCUUGUAGCUUACUCGCUUAUGUUAUUUUACCUACGCUUAGGAUGUUGAAGAUGUAGCACAUCAU